UAAUUGAAGAGUUUGAUCAUGGCUCAGAUUGAACGCUGGCGGCAGGCCUAACACAUGCAAGUCGAGCGGCAGCACAAGGGAGUCUACUCCUGAGGUGGCGAGCGGCGGACGGGUGAGUAAUGCCUAGGGAUCUGCCCAGUCGAGGGGGAUAACAGUUGGAAACGACUGCUAAUACCGCAUACGCCCUACGGGGGAAAGGAGGGGACCUUCG
This 211-nucleotide ribosomal RNA is filed under the name Shewanella sp. M16. Its description in RNAcentral is "partial 16S ribosomal RNA". It matches the Rfam family "Bacterial small subunit ribosomal RNA", at positions 1 to 219 of the family's 1533-position model. Lineage: Bacteria; Pseudomonadati; Pseudomonadota; Gammaproteobacteria; Alteromonadales; Shewanellaceae. The record is from RNAcentral.